AGUCUUUGUAUCACCUCCCUGAAGUCUACCUUGGCCAACCUGUUUAUAAUUGCAAACCACUCCCCAGGCUUAGCACUCCCCAUUCUUUCCCUGGGUUUCUUUUUUUCCUUUAUGCACUUCUCACCAUCUUUAUACUAAUCUGCUUUUUGUGUCUGUUGUCUGUCUCCUUCAAUGGGCAUGGAAACUAGACUAUAAUAACGACUUAAGUAUUUGUUUAAUGAAUAAAGCACAGAGGGUAAUAACUUGUCAAGUCACAGACCCAUCCAAUGGAGGGGCCCUGUAUUAAACCUAAGCAGCCUGGCUUCAGAGUCUGGGCUCUUAAUGACAAUGCUAGGACCAGAACACUCACUAAACUGCUCUCCUUUGUGUGUCUCUUAUGUGAAGGAAAUCCCUUUUUUUUUCUCUCUUUUCAUGAUCAAGUCUGAUGAUUUGAAGAAGAGAAGAGAGCCUCACAUCUCCACUUUAAGGAAAAUUCUGUUUGAAGAUUUCCGGUCCUGGCUUUCUGAUAUUUCUAAAAUUGACCUGGAAUCAACCAUUGACAUGUCCUGUGCUAAAUAUGAAUUCACUGAUGCCCUGCUGUGCCAUGAUGAUGAGCU
Molecule: small RNA, 596 nt
Filed under: Pan troglodytes (chimpanzee)
Lineage: Eukaryota; Metazoa; Chordata; Mammalia; Primates; Hominidae
Description: processed transcript
Source: RNAcentral